This 253-nucleotide ribosomal RNA is filed under the name uncultured bacterium. RNAcentral describes it as "partial 16S ribosomal RNA". It matches the Rfam family "Bacterial small subunit ribosomal RNA", at positions 524 to 776 of the family's 1533-position model. The record is from RNAcentral.
UACGUAGGGUGCGAGCGUUAAUCGGAAUUACUGGGCGUAAAGCGCGCGUAGGCGGCUGCCUAAGUCGGGUGUGAAAGCCCCGGGCUCAACCUGGGAACUGCACUCGAUACUGGGCGGCUAGAGUAUGAGAGAGGGAGGUAGAAUUCCACGUGUAGCGGUGAAAUGCGUAGAUAUGUGGAGGAAUACCGGUGGCGAAGGCGGCCUCCUGGUUCAAUACUGACGCUGAGGUGCGAAAGCGUGGGGAGCAAACAGG